CAGCAGCCGCGGUAAUACGGAGGGAGCUAGCGUUGCUCGGAAUUACUGGGCGUAAAGCGUGCGCAGGCGGUGCUGUAAGACUGAUGUGAAAUCCCCGGGCUCAACCUGGGAACUGCAUUGGUGACUGCAACGCUGGAGUGCGGCAGAGGGGGAUGGAAUUCCGCGUGUAGCAGUGAAAUGCGUAGAUAUGCGGAGGAACACCGAUGGCGAAGGCAAUCCCCUGGGCCUGCACUGACGCUCAUGCACGAAAGCGUGGGGAGCAAACAGGAUUAGAUACCCCUGUAGUCCCUGUCUCUUAUAC
RNAcentral lists this ribosomal RNA (301 nucleotides) under uncultured bacterium. Its description in RNAcentral is "partial 16S ribosomal RNA". It matches the Rfam family "Bacterial small subunit ribosomal RNA", at positions 509 to 807 of the family's 1533-position model. The record is from RNAcentral.